UACAGAGGGUGCGAGCGUUGUCCGGAAUCACUGGGCGUAAAGAGCGCGCAGGCGGUCGAUCAAGUCGAGUGUGAAAGCCCCCGGCUCAACUGGGGAGGGUCAUUCGAUACUGAUCGACUCGAAGGCAGGAGAGGGUAGUGGAAUUCCCGGUGUAGUGGUGAAAUGCGUAGAUAUCGGGAGGAACACCAGUGGCGAAGGCGACUACCUGGCCUGUUCUUGACGCUGAGGCGCGAAAGCUAGGGGAGCAAACGGG
Molecule: ribosomal RNA, 253 nt
Filed under: uncultured bacterium
Lineage: Bacteria
Description: partial 16S ribosomal RNA
Rfam family: Bacterial small subunit ribosomal RNA
Source: RNAcentral